This 678-nucleotide ribosomal RNA is filed under the name salal associated fungal clone UBCtra1011_6. RNAcentral's name for it is "eukaryotic LSU rRNA". It matches the Rfam family "Eukaryotic large subunit ribosomal RNA", at positions 1 to 618 of the family's 3401-position model. Lineage: Eukaryota; Fungi; Basidiomycota. The record is from RNAcentral.
AAGAUCUCAAAUAAGGUAAGAGUACCCGCUGAACUUAAGCAUAUUAAUAAGCGGAGGAAAAGAAACUAACAAGGAUUCCCCUAGUAACUGCGAGUGAAGCGGGAAAAGCUCAACGUUAAAAUCGGGUGUGGGCAAGCGCCUCAUCGAAUUGUAAUCUAAAGAUGCAACGUCAGCGAUGACCUCGGUAUAAAUCCUUUGGAAAAGGGUAUCAUAGAGGGUGAGAAUCCCGUCUUUGACCGAGAGUUCGUCGCGUACGACUUGUAUUCCAAGAGUCGAGGUUGUUUGGGAUUGCACCUCUAAAUGGGUGGUAAAUUUCAUCUAAAGCUAAAUAUCAACGAGAGACCGAUAGCGAACAAGUMCCGUGAGGGAAAGAUGAAAAGAACUUUGWAAAGAGAGUUAAAAAGUACUUGAAAUUGUUAAGAGGGAAGCGAUGGCAACCAGUCGUGCGGCGUUGGCUUACGUUUAUUAGUGGGUGUCUUUGGCUGGUCGCAGGUUCUUUACGGUCCUUUGCGGCUGGUCGGUUCAGGCAUUCGUUGGUGGAUUCGGCCGGCGUCGUGGGUCAGCAUCAGUUUGAUCUGUGGGAGAAUACCUGGAGGAAGAUAGGGGCUGCUCGAAAGAGUAUCUCUGUUAUAGACUCUGGGCUAUACCAUGGGUUAGACUGAGGUCGAGCGUGUCUUC